UGCUACCACACGGCAAGCGGUACCGGAGCGCCAAGUCUAGGUCCAAAAGACUUCUUAACAACUUCUACCCCCAAACAAUAAGACUCCUGAACAGCUAAUGAAUUGGCUACCCAGACUAUUUGCAAUGCCCCCCCCCCCACACUGCUGCUACUCUCUGUUUAUUAUCUGUGCAUAGUCACUUCAACUCUACCUACAUGUACAUAUUACCUCAAUUAACCGGUAACCCCACACAUUGACUCUGUACCGGUACCCCCUGUAUAUAGUCUCCACAUUGACUCUGUACCGGUACCCCCUGUAUAUAGCCUCCACAUUGACUCUGUACCGGUACCCCCUGUAUAUAGCUUCCACAUUGACUCUGUACCAGUAACCCCUGUAUAUAGCCUCCACAUUGACUCUGUACCGGUACCCCCUGUAUAUAGCCUCCACAUUGACUCUGUACCGGUACCCCCCUGUAUAUAGUCUCCACAUUGACUCUGUACCGGUACCCCCUGUAUAUAGCCUCCACAUUGACUCUGUACCGGUACCCCCUGUAUAUUGCCUCCACAUUGACUCUGUACCGGUAUCCCCUGUAUAUAGCCUCCACAUUGACUCUGUACCGGUACCCCCUGUAUAUAGCCUCCACAUUGACUCUGUACCGGGACCCCCUGUAUAUAGCCUCCACAUUGACUCUGUACCGGUACCCCCUGUAUAUAGCCUCCACAUUGACUCUGUACCGGUACCCCCUGUAUAUAGCCUCCACAUUGACUCUGUACCGGUACCCCCUGUAUAUAGCUUCCACAUUUACUCUGUACCGUAAUACACUGUAUAUAGCCUCCACAUUGACUCUGUACCGGUACCCCCUGUAUAUAGCCUCCACAUUGACUCUGUACCGGUACCCCCUGUAUAUAGCCUCCACAUUGACUCUGUACCGUAAUACCCUGUAUAUAGCCUCACUACUGUUAUUUUACCUCUGCUCUUUAAUUAUUUGUUACUGUUAUUUUUUAUUUUUUAUUAAACAGCAUUGUUAGUUAAGGGCUUGUAAAUAAGCAUUUCACUGUAAGAUCUACACCUGUUUUAUGUGGCACAUGUGACAAAUACAAUUUCAUUUGAGGUGGUACCAAUACCCUGUAUCUCUCUGAGGCUGUAAUACUGUUGAUGACCACUAGGUGGUGCCAAUACCCUGUAUCUCUCUGAGGAGGCUGUAAUACUGUUGAUGACCACUAGGUGGUGCCAAUACCCUGUAUCUCUCUGAGGCUGUAAUACUGUUGAUGACCACCAGGUGGUGCCAACACCCUGUAUCUCUCUGAGGAGGCUGUAAUACUGUUGAUGACCACUAGGUGGUGGCAAUACCCUGUAUCUCUCUGAGGCUGUAAUACUGUUGAUGACCACUAG
Molecule: long non-coding RNA, 1371 nt
Filed under: Salmo salar (Atlantic salmon)
Lineage: Eukaryota; Metazoa; Chordata; Actinopteri; Salmoniformes; Salmonidae
Description: lncRNA (ENSSSAG00000098163.1)
Source: RNAcentral